RNAcentral lists this ribosomal RNA (498 nucleotides) under uncultured bacterium. Its description in RNAcentral is "partial 16S ribosomal RNA". It matches the Rfam family "Bacterial small subunit ribosomal RNA", at positions 29 to 523 of the family's 1533-position model. The record is from RNAcentral.
AUUGAACGCUGGCGGCAUGCUUUACACAUGCAAGUCGAACGGUAACAGGCCGCAAGGUGCUGACGAGUGGCGAACGGGUGAGUAAUGCAUCGGAACGUGCCCAGUCGUGGGGGAUAACGCAGCGAAAGCUGUGCUAAUACCGCAUACGAUCUAUGGAUGAAAGCGGGGGACCGUAAGACCUCGCGCGAUUGGAGCGGCCGAUGUCAGAUUAGCUAGUUGGUGGGGUAAAGGCCCACCAAGGCGACGAUCUGUAGCUGGUCUGAGAGGACGACCAGCCACAGUGGGACGGAGACACGGCCCAGACCCCUACGGGAGGCAGCAGGGGGGAAUUUUGGACAAGGGGCGCAAGCCUGAUUCAGCAAUGCCGCGUGCAGGAAGAAGGCCUUCGGGUUGUAAACUGCUUUUGUACGGAACGAAACGGUCUGGGUUAAUACCCUGGGCUAAUGACGGUACCGUAAGAAUAAGCACCGGCUAACUACGUGCCAGCCGCCGCCGUAA